Neomonachus schauinslandi (Hawaiian monk seal) is the source of this 73-nucleotide non-coding RNA. The record is from the annotation of a RefSeq genome assembly. NCBI's taxonomy places the organism in Eukaryota, Metazoa, Chordata, Mammalia, Carnivora, Phocidae.
GCCUGGGUGGCUCAGUCAGUAGAGCAUGUGACUACUGAUCUUGGGGUCAUGAGUUCGAGCCCCAUGCUGGGCA